ACUAAAAUAACAAUAAAGAAUUAAAGUAUUAAAUGAUAAAUCAUUAAAUUUAUAAGAUUUGGCAGUAUUUAAUUCAUAUUAGAGGAACUUGUUUAGUAAUUGAUAAUCCACGAUAAGAAUUACUUAAUUUAAUACUUAUGUAUUGCUGUUUUAAGAUUUAUUUUAAAAAUUUUAUUAUAAUUUAUUAAUUUAAAUAAAAUAAUUCAAGUCAAAAUAUAGUUUAGUUAAGAAUUAAAAUGAGUUACAAUAAAUUAAAUUUAUAUGGAUUUUAAAAUUUAAAUUUUAAAUAAAAGUGGAUUUAAAAGUAAAUUAAAUAAAUUAAUUUAAUUGAAAAUUGUUUUUAAAUGUGU
RNAcentral lists this ribosomal RNA (350 nucleotides) under Katamenes dimidiatus. RNAcentral describes it as "partial 12S ribosomal RNA". The record is from RNAcentral. Lineage: Eukaryota; Metazoa; Arthropoda; Insecta; Hymenoptera; Vespidae.